RNAcentral lists this ribosomal RNA (516 nucleotides) under uncultured bacterium. RNAcentral's name for it is "partial 16S ribosomal RNA". It matches the Rfam family "Bacterial small subunit ribosomal RNA", at positions 28 to 523 of the family's 1533-position model. The record is from RNAcentral.
GAUGAACGCUGGCGGCGUGCCUAAUACAUGCAAGUCGAACGCAUUGAGAGAAGUGCUUGCACUUUUCAAUUUGAGUGGCGAACGGGUGAGUAGCACGUGGGCAACCUACCUGAUAGCGGGGGAUAACGAGUGGAAACAUUCGCUAAUACCGCAUAACAAUAGAGAAGGCAUCUUCUUUAUUUAAAAGGCGCUUUAAAGCGUCACUAUCAGAUGGGCCCGCGGUGCAUUAGUUAGUUGGUGGGGUGAAGGCCUACCAAGACGAUGAUGCAUAGCCGAGUUGAGAGACUGAUCGGCCACAUUGGGACUGAGACACGGCCCAAACUCCUACGGGAGGCUGCAGUAGGGAAUCUUCCACAAUGGACGAAAGUCUGAUGGAGCAACGCCGCGUGUGUGAUGAUGGCUUUCGGGUCGUAAAGCACUGUUGUAUGGGAAGAAAUGCUAGGCUAGGAAAUGAGCUUAGUUUGACGGUACCAUACCAGAAAGGGACGGCUAAAUACGUGCCAGCCGCCGCGGUAA